RNAcentral lists this ribosomal RNA (429 nucleotides) under Pseudomonadota bacterium. Its description in RNAcentral is "Proteobacteria bacterium partial 16S ribosomal RNA". It matches the Rfam family "Bacterial small subunit ribosomal RNA", at positions 355 to 776 of the family's 1533-position model. Lineage: Bacteria; Pseudomonadati; Pseudomonadota. The record is from RNAcentral.
UGGGGAAUAUUGGACAAUGGGCGAAAGCCUGAUCCAGCCAUGCCGCGUGUGUGAAGAAGGUCUUCGGAUUGUAAAGCACUUUAAGUUGGGAGGAAGGGCAGUAAGCGAAUACCUUGCUGUUUUGACGUUACCGACAGAAUAAGCACCGGCUAACUCUGUGCCAGCAGCCGCGGUAAUACAGAGGGUGCAAGCGUUAAUCGGAAUUACUGGGCGUAAAGCGCGCGUAGGUGGUUCGUUAAGUUGAAUGUGAAAGCCCCGGGGCCAGCCUGGGAACUGCAGCCAAAACUGGCGAGCUAGAGUAGGGCAGAGGGUGGUGGAAUUUCCUGUGUAGCGGUGAAAUGCGUAGAUAUAGGAAGGAACACCAGUGGCGAAGGCGACCACCUGGGCUCAUACUGACACUGAGGUGCGAAAGCGUGGGGAGCAAACAGG